Molecule: ribosomal RNA, 1369 nt
Filed under: Halomicrobium sp. Bet58
Lineage: Archaea; Methanobacteriati; Methanobacteriota; Halobacteria; Halobacteriales; Haloarculaceae
Description: bacterial SSU rRNA
Rfam family: Archaeal small subunit ribosomal RNA
Source: RNAcentral
AUUCCGGUUGAUCCUGCCGGAGGCCAUUGCUAUCGGAGUUCGAUUUAGCCCUGCUAGUCGCACGGGUUUAGACCCGUGGCGUAUAGGUCAGUAACACGGGGCCAAACUACCCUAUAGACCAUGAAAACCUCGGGAAAAUGAGGCUAAUUGUGGAUAUCGCAUUCACGCUUGAACUGCCGAAAGCGAGAAACGUUCCGGCGCUAUAGGAUGUGGCUGCGGCCGAUUAGGUAGACGGUGGGGUAACGGCCCACCGUGCCAGUAAUCGGUACGGGUGGUGACAGCCAGAACCCGGAGACGGUAUCUGAGACAAGAUACCGGGCCCUACGGGGCGCAGCAGGCGCGAAACCUUUACACUGCACGACAGUGCGAUAGGGGGACUCCGAGUGCGAGGGCAUAUAGCCCUCGCUUUUCUCGACCGUAAGGUGGUCGACGAAUAAGGACUGGGCAAGACCGGUGCCAGCCGCCGCGGUAAUACCGGCAGUCCGAGUGAUGGCCGCUGUUAUUGGGCCUAAAGCGUCCGUAGCUUGCCGUGAAAGUCUAUCGGGAAAUCGACGUGCUCAACGCGUCGGCUUCCGGUGAAAACUACACGGUUUGAGGCCGGAGAACUCAGCGGGUACGUCCGGGGUAGGAGUGAAAUCCUGUAAUCCUGGACGGACCACCAAUGGCGAAAGCACGCUGAGAAGCCGGACCCGACAGUGAGGGACGAAAGCCAGGGUCUCGAACCGGAUUAGAUACCCGGGUAGUCCUGGCCGUAAACGAUGUUCGUUAGGUCUGCCGUGCACUACGAGUGCACGGUGAGCCGAAGUGAAGACGAUAAACGAGCCGCCUGGGAAGUACGUCCGCAAGGAUGAAACUUAAAGGAAUUGGCGGGGGAGCACCACAACCGGAGGAGCCUGCGGUUUAAUUGGACUCAACGCCGGACAUCUCACCAGUCCCGACAGCAAUAACGACGGUCAGCUUGACGAGCUUACCCGAGUUGUUGAGAGGAGGUGCAUGGCCGCCGUCAGCUCGUACCGUGAGGCAUCCUGUUAAGUCAGGUAACGAGCGAGACCCGCCUCCGUAGUUGCCAGCGAUACCUUGAGGUAGUCGGGUACACUACGGAGACCGCCGACGCUAAGUCGGAGGAAGGAACGGGCAACGGUAGGUCAGUAUGCCCCGAAUGGACUGGGCAACACGCGGGCUACAAUGGUCGAGACAAUGGGUUGCGAUACCGAGAGGUAGAGCUAAUCUCCCAAACUCGGUCGUAGUUCGGAUUGUGGGCUGAAACUCGCCCACAUGAAGCUGGAUUCGGUAGUAAUCGCGUGUCAGAAGCGCGCGGUGAAUACGUCCCUGCUCCUUGCCCCCCCCGCCCGUCAAAGCCCCCGAGUGA